Molecule: transfer RNA, 74 nt
Filed under: Chloroflexota bacterium
Lineage: Bacteria; Bacillati; Chloroflexota
Also listed under: 1 other name
Description: tRNA-Gln
Rfam family: tRNA
About the family: Transfer RNA (tRNA) molecules are approximately 80 nucleotides in length. Their secondary structure includes four short double-helical elements and three loops (D, anti-codon, and T loops).
Source: RNAcentral
UGCCCGGUAGUGUAGCGGUAGCACAGGGGACUUUGAAUCCCUUGACCCAGGUUCGAACCCUGGCCGGGCAGCCA